UCUUGUCCUUGAAAUCAGUAGAAUAUCCAUGAAGUUUAUAGCAGGUGUCCUUUGUAUGACCUUUCAUGUGACAGUAGUCACAUUGCAGUGUAGGCCUCCCAAAAUUAUUUCUAGGUUUGAAGUUGCUAUUUCCAUUUCCUGCAUUAGCUUUACUCAUCAGUGUUGUAGGCUCACCAAUGCCAACAUUUAGGGCUGCACUAUUUUUUCUUUGGCUCUCAUCAUUAACUACCAUAGCUUAAGCUUGAUUAACAUUAGAAAGUGGUCGAAUAAUGAGAAUAUGAUCUUUAGCAUUGUCAAAUGAGUCAUUUAA
Molecule: long non-coding RNA, 310 nt
Filed under: Nicotiana benthamiana
Lineage: Eukaryota; Viridiplantae; Streptophyta; Magnoliopsida; Solanales; Solanaceae
Description: long non-coding RNA (NBEN_LNC022676)
Source: RNAcentral